AACCCACUUCAUCAGAUGAUGAGCUCAUGAUGUGCUCAUCAUCUGAUGAAGUGGGUUUU
Molecule: microRNA precursor, 59 nt
Organism: Pelodiscus sinensis (Chinese soft-shelled turtle)
Lineage: Eukaryota; Metazoa; Chordata; Testudines; Trionychidae
Rfam family: mir-35_2 microRNA precursor family
Source: Rfam